This 301-nucleotide ribosomal RNA is filed under the name uncultured bacterium. RNAcentral describes it as "partial 16S ribosomal RNA". It matches the Rfam family "Bacterial small subunit ribosomal RNA", at positions 509 to 808 of the family's 1533-position model. The record is from RNAcentral.
CAGUCGCGCGGUAAAACGUAGGUGGCAAGCGUUGUCCGGAAUUAUUGGGCGUAAAGGGCUCGCAGGCGGUUUCUUAAGUCUGAUGUGAAAGCCCCCGGCUCAACCGGGGAGGGUCAUUGGAAGCUGGGAAACUUGAGUGCAGAAGAGGAGAGUGGAAUUCCGCGUGUAGCGGUGAAAUGCGUAGAGAUGUGGAGGGACACCAGUGGCGAAGGCGACUCUCUGGUCUGUAACUGACGCUGAGGAGCGAAAGCGUGGGGAGCGAACAGGAUUAGAUACCCGUGUAGUCCCUGUCUCUUAUACA